This 702-nucleotide ribosomal RNA is filed under the name Salmonella enterica. Its description in RNAcentral is "partial 23S ribosomal RNA". It matches the Rfam family "Bacterial large subunit ribosomal RNA", at positions 2101 to 2802 of the family's 2925-position model. Lineage: Bacteria; Pseudomonadati; Pseudomonadota; Gammaproteobacteria; Enterobacterales; Enterobacteriaceae. RNAcentral also lists the same sequence under 1 other name. The record is from RNAcentral.
UUACUAUAGCUUGACACUGAACAUUGAGCCUUGAUGUGUAGGAUAGGUGGGAGGCUUUGAAGUGUGGACGCCAGUCUGCAUGGAGCCGACCUUGAAAUACCACCCUUUAAUGUUUGAUGUUCUAACGUGGACCCGUAAUCCGGGUUGCGGACAGUGUCUGGUGGGUAGUUUGACUGGGGCGGUCUCCUCCUAAAGAGUAACGGAGGAGCACGAAGGUUGGCUAAUCCUGGUCGGACAUCAGGAGGUUAGUGCAAUGGCAUAAGCCAGCUUGACUGCGAGCGUGACGGCGCGAGCAGGUGCGAAAGCAGGUCAUAGUGAUCCGGUGGUUCUGAAUGGAAGGGCCAUCGCUCAACGGAUAAAAGGUACUCCGGGGAUAACAGGCUGAUACCGCCCAAGAGUUCAUAUCGACGGCGGUGUUUGGCACCUCGAUGUCGGCUCAUCACAUCCUGGGGCUGAAGUAGGUCCCAAGGGUAUGGCUGUUCGCCAUUUAAAGUGGUACGCGAGCUGGGUUUAGAACGUCGUGAGACAGUUCGGUCCCUAUCUGCCGUGGGCGCUGGAGAACUGAGGGGGGCUGCUCCUAGUACGAGAGGACCGGAGUGGACGCAUCACUGGUGUUCGGGUUGUCAUGCCAAUGGCACUGCCCGGUAGCUAAAUGCGGAAGAGAUAAGUGCUGAAAGCAUCUAAGCACGAAACUUGCCCCGA